This 150-nucleotide ribosomal RNA is filed under the name Dictyothyriella garciniae. RNAcentral's name for it is "5.8S ribosomal RNA". It matches the Rfam family "5.8S ribosomal RNA". Rfam says of the family: 5.8S ribosomal RNA (5.8S rRNA) is a component of the large subunit of the eukaryotic ribosome. It is transcribed by RNA polymerase I as part of the 45S precursor that also contains 18S and 28S rRNA. Lineage: Eukaryota; Fungi; Ascomycota; Lecanoromycetes; Micropeltidales; Micropeltidaceae. The record is from RNAcentral.
CUUUCAACAACGGAUCUCUUGGUUCUGGCAUCGAUGAAGAACGCAGCGAAAUGCGAUAAGUAAUGUGAAUUGCAGAAAUCGUGAAUCAUCGAAUCUUUGAACGCACAUUGCACCCUUGGGUAUUCCCAGGGGUAUGCCUGUUCGAGCGUC